This 343-nucleotide ribosomal RNA is filed under the name uncultured bacterium. RNAcentral describes it as "bacterial SSU rRNA". It matches the Rfam family "Bacterial small subunit ribosomal RNA", at positions 8 to 344 of the family's 1533-position model. The record is from RNAcentral.
AGAGUUUGAUCAUGGCUCAGAGUGAACGCUGGCGGUAGGCCUAACACAUGCAAGUCGAACGGCAGCACAGUAAGAGCUUGCUCUUAUGGGUGGCGAGUGGCGGACGGGUGAGGAAUACAUCGGAAUCUACCUUUUCGUGGGGGAUAACGUAGGGAAACUUACGCUAAUACCGCAUACGACCUUCGGGUGAAAGCAGGGGACCUUCGGGCCUUGCGCGGAUAGAUGAGCCGAUGUCGGAUUAGCUAGUUGGCGGGGUAAAGGCCCUUCAACGGGACGCUCCGUAGCUGGUGUGUGCGGAUUCUCUGCCCCUCGUUUUCCGGGACACAGCUCUGACUCCUGACUG